GAGUUUGAUCAUGGCUCAGGAUGAACGCUGGCGGCGUGCUUAACACAUGCAAGUCGAACGAAGCGGGAAGAGAGAAGUUUUUCGAAAUGGAUUUUUUCUUUGCUUAGUGGCGGACGGGUGCGUAACACGUAGGUAACCUGCCCUGUUCAUUGGAAUAACUUCGGGAAACCGGUGCUAAUGCCAAAUAACAUCGCCUGUCGGCAUCGACGGGCGAUCAAAGAAUUUCGGAACAGGAUGGGCCUGCGCCGGAUUAGCUGGUUGGUGAGGUAAUGGCUCACCAAGGCGACGAUCCGUAGCCGACCUGAGAGGGUGAUCGGCCACACUGGAACUGAGACACGGUCCAGACUCCUACGGGAGGCAGCAGUGGGGAAUAUUGCACAAUGGGCGCAAGCCUGAUGCAGCAACGCCGCGUGAGCGAUGAAGGCUUUCGAGUCGUAAAGCUCUGUCCUAUGGGAAGAUGAUGACGUACCAUAGGAGGAGCCCC
RNAcentral lists this ribosomal RNA (484 nucleotides) under Peptostreptococcaceae bacterium canine oral taxon 166. RNAcentral describes it as "bacterial SSU rRNA". It matches the Rfam family "Bacterial small subunit ribosomal RNA", at positions 9 to 494 of the family's 1533-position model. Lineage: Bacteria; Bacillati; Bacillota; Clostridia; Peptostreptococcales; Peptostreptococcaceae. The record is from RNAcentral.